UACAGAGGGUGCGAGCGUUAAUCGGAAUUACUGGGCGUAAAGCGUGCGUAGACGGUUAUUUAAGUCGGGUGUGAAAGCCCCGGGCUCAACCUGGGAAUUGCAUUCGAGACUGAAUAGCUAGGGUACGGUAGAGGGAAGUGGAAUUUCCGGUGUAGCGGUGAAAUGCGUAGAUAUUCGCAAGAACACCAGUGGCGAAGGCGGCUCACUGGCCCGGUACUGACGCUGAGGCACGAAAGCGUGGGGGGCAAACAGG
This 253-nucleotide ribosomal RNA is filed under the name uncultured bacterium. Its description in RNAcentral is "partial 16S ribosomal RNA". It matches the Rfam family "Bacterial small subunit ribosomal RNA", at positions 524 to 776 of the family's 1533-position model. The record is from RNAcentral.